CAGUCGAGGGGCAGCAUGGUCUUAGCUUGCUAAGGCCGAUGGCGACCGGCGCACGGGUGAGUAACACGUAUCCAACCUGCCGUCUACUCUUGGACAGCCUUCUGAAAGGAAGAUUAAUACAAGAUGGCAUCAUGAGUCCGCAUGUUCACAUGAUUAAAGGUAUUCCGGUAGACGAUGGGGAUGCGUUCCAUUAGAUAGUAGGCGGGGUAACGGCCCACCUAGUCUUCGAUGGAUAGGGGUUCUGAGAGGAAGGUCCCCCACAUUGGAACUGAGACACGGUCCAAACUCCUACGGGAGGCAGCAGUGAGGAAUAUUGGUCAAUGGGCGAGAGCCUGAACCAGCCAAGUAGCGUGAAGGAUGACUGCCCUAUGGGUUGUAAACUUCUUUUAUAAAGGAAUAAAGUCGGGUAUGCAUACCCGUUUGCAUGUACUUUAUGAAUAAGGAUCGGCUAACUCCGUGCCAGCAGCCGCGGUAAUACGGAGGAUCCGAGCGUUAUCCGGAUUUAUUGGGUUUAAAGGGAGCGUAGAUGGAUGUUUAAGUCAGUUGUGAAAGUUUGCGGCUCAACCGUAAAAUUGCAGUUGAUACUGGAUAUCUUGAGUGCAGUUGAGGCAGGCGGAAUUCGUGGUGUAGCGGUGAAAUGCUUAGAUAUCACGAGGAACUCCGAUUGCGAAGGCAGCCUGCUAAGCUGCAACUGACAUUGAGGCUCGAAAGUGUGGGUAUCAAACAGGAUUAGAUACCCUGGUAGUCCACACGGUAAACGAUGAAUACUCGCUGUUUGCGAUAUACAGCAAGCGGCCAAGCGAAAGCGUUA
This 811-nucleotide ribosomal RNA is filed under the name uncultured bacterium. RNAcentral describes it as "bacterial SSU rRNA". It matches the Rfam family "Bacterial small subunit ribosomal RNA", at positions 59 to 862 of the family's 1533-position model. The record is from RNAcentral.